AGAGAAAUAAAAGAGAAAAUAUCAGAGUGCAUCCAACAUACUGGAGCAACCACACUGCAGUCCUCUUGGCCACAGCGGGAAGACAGCAGGCCUACCAAGUGGGAGAAGGAAUCGAACACCAGUGGAACUGCAGGACAUGGCCAACUGUCAACUUGGAACUUUGUAAUCAAUAAAAGUACCCUUGAAGAAUGAAAGCAAAAUGAAGACAUUCCAAGCUAACAAAGUAGAGGGUCUGCCUCCAACAGAGCUGCAGUACAGAUGGAAAGCAAUCCAGAAAAAAGAUCGAAGGAAAGAAUGAAGAACACUUGUGGUGCAAAACAUAAUAAAAAUGUCUGCCAGGCUUAAAAUAACAAGAUGAACAACAAAAUAAGGGGGAGAGGAUGUGAGGUUAGUGUAUUCAAAUAUCCUUGCAUGAUGUGAAGGAUGGUAAAGCUAUUCACUAAUUUUGGACUUUAAUAAGUUAAUUGUGAAUGUCAAAAUACCUAAGGUAAAAAUUAUUAGACUAGAAAUAGAAAUCCCACACUUGUACAAAGGAAAAAAAAAAGGAAUUCUAUAACAGUAUUUCACCAGUACAAAAGAAGCCAAAGAUGAAUAGAACUAGAAGAAAAGGCAAAAUAUAAAGCACAAAA
Lynx canadensis (Canada lynx) is the source of this 629-nucleotide long non-coding RNA. RefSeq lists it as uncharacterized. The record is from RefSeq and is a predicted model, not a curated record. NCBI's taxonomy places the organism in Eukaryota, Metazoa, Chordata, Mammalia, Carnivora, Felidae. The transcript has 3 exons.